UUCAUUCCAAAAAUCAAAAGGUAAAAAGAAUUUUAAGUCAUGGAAAUAAAAUCAAAUAAAAAUUGUGUGUUAAAAUGGACCAUUUGGAAUAAAUAAUUAAAAUAAAAUACUAAUACUAAAUAAAUACGAAAAUAAAAAUUAAAUAAAAUUAAAUAAGGCAUUAAGAAAUAUGGAAAAUAUUUUUGGACAUUUUUAUAAAUAAAGAAAAUAUUUUAAAAUAAUUAAAAUCUAAACAGAAAAUAAGUGUGAAUUGAAAUAAGAAAAUAAAAAUAAAUGGAUUGGUGUUGAUGGGCCCUGAAAGGGAGGAGUGGAGAGUAACUAGCGCAGGCCCAUGAUCC
Molecule: long non-coding RNA, 338 nt
Filed under: Lathyrus oleraceus (garden pea)
Lineage: Eukaryota; Viridiplantae; Streptophyta; Magnoliopsida; Fabales; Fabaceae
Description: Pisum sativum (pea) long non-coding RNA (PSAT_LNC014840)
Source: RNAcentral